This 119-nucleotide ribosomal RNA is filed under the name Pelobates cultripes (western spadefoot toad). The record is from RNAcentral. Lineage: Eukaryota; Metazoa; Chordata; Amphibia; Anura; Pelobatidae.
GCCUACGGCCAUACCAGACUGAAAGUGCCUGAUCUUGUCAGAUCUCAGAAUUCAUGCAGACUUGGGCCUGCUUAGUACUUGUAUGGGAGACCAACUAGGAACCUCAGGUGCCGUAAGCU